GAUGAACGCUGGCGGCGUGCCUAAUACAUGCAAGUCGAGCGAACAGACGAGAGUGCUUGCACUCUCUGACGUUAGCGUCGGACGGGUGAGUAACACGUGGGUAACCUACCUAUAAGACUGGGAUAACUUCGGGAAGCCUGAGCUAAUACCGGAUAAUAUUUAGCUUCUCAUGAAGCAAUAGUGAAAGACUGUUCUGCUGUCACUUAUAGAUGGACCCGCGGUGUAUUAGCUAGUUGGUGAGGUAACGGCUCACCAAGUCAACGAUACAUAGCCGACCUGAGAGGGUGAUCGGCCACACUGGGACUGAGACACGGCCCAGACUCCUACGGGAGGCAGCAGUAGGGAAUCUUCCGCAAUGGACGAAAGUCUGACGGAGCAAUGCCGCGUGAGUGAAGAAGGUUUUCGGAUCGUAAAACUCUGUUGUAAGGGAAGAACAAGUACGUUAGUAACUGAACGUACCUUGACGGUACCUUACCAGAAAGCAACGGCUAACUACGUG
RNAcentral lists this ribosomal RNA (499 nucleotides) under uncultured bacterium. Its description in RNAcentral is "partial 16S ribosomal RNA". It matches the Rfam family "Bacterial small subunit ribosomal RNA", at positions 28 to 507 of the family's 1533-position model. The record is from RNAcentral.